RNAcentral lists this ribosomal RNA (478 nucleotides) under uncultured organism. RNAcentral describes it as "bacterial SSU rRNA". It matches the Rfam family "Bacterial small subunit ribosomal RNA", at positions 28 to 507 of the family's 1533-position model. The record is from RNAcentral.
GAUGAACGCUAGCGGCAGGCCUAACACAUGCAAGUCGAGGGGUAGUUGUCUUCGGACAAUGAGACCGGCGCACGGGUGCGUAACGCGUAUGCAAUCUACCUUAUACUAAGGGAUAGCCCAGAGAAAUUUGGAUUAAUACCUUAUAGUUAAAUGAAUUGGCAUCGAUUUAUUUAUAAAGAUUUAUUGGUAUAAGAUGAGCAUGCGUCCCAUUAGUUAGUUGGUAAGGUAACGGCUUACCAAGACGAUGAUGGGUAGGGGUCCUGAGAGGGAGAUCCCCCACACUGGUACUGAGACACGGACCAGACUCCUACGGGAGGCAGCAGUGAGGAAUAUUGGUCAAUGGGCGCAAGCCUGAACCAGCCAUGCCGCGUGCAGGAUGACGCAUCUAUGGUGUGUAAACUGCUUUUGUACAGGAAGAAACAGUUCUUUGCGAAGAACCUUGACGGUACUGUAAGAAUAAGGAUCGGCUAACUCCGUG